Molecule: ribosomal RNA, 497 nt
Filed under: uncultured bacterium
Lineage: Bacteria
Description: partial 16S ribosomal RNA
Rfam family: Bacterial small subunit ribosomal RNA
Source: RNAcentral
GAUGAACGCUGGCGGCGUGCCUAAUACAUGCAAGUCGAGCGAACAGACGAGGAGCUUGCUCCUCUGACGUUAGCGGCGGACGGGUGAGUAACACGUGGAUAACCUACCUAUAAGACUGGGAUAACUUCGGGAAACCGGAGCUAAUACCGGAUAAUAUAUUGAACCGCAUGGUUCAAUAGUGAAGAACGGUUUUGCUGUCACUUAUAGAUGGAUCCGCGCCGCAUUAGCUAGUUGGUAAGGUAACGGCUUACCAAGGCGACGAUGCGUAGCCGACCUGAGAGGGUGAUCGGCCACACUGGAACUGAGACACGGUCCAGACUCCUACGGGAGGCAGCAGUAGGGAAUCUUCCGCAAUGGGCGAAAGCCUGACGGAGCAACGCCGCGUGAGUGAUGAAGGUCUUCGGAUCGUAAAACUCUGUUAUUAGGGAAGAACAAAUGUGUAAGUAACUAUGCACGUCUUGACGGUACCUAAUCAGAAAGCCACGGCUAACUACGUG